AUUAGAGUUUGAUCCUGGCUCAGGAUGAACGCUAGCUACAGGCUUAACACAUGCAAGUCGAGGGGCAUCAUGUCGGUUGCUUGCAACCGAUGAUGGCGACCGGCGCACGGGUGAGUAACGCGUAUCCAACCUUCCGCACACUAAGGGAUAACCCGUUGAAAGACGGCCUAAUACCUUAUGUCCUCCACGGCAGACAUCUAAUGUGGAGCAAAGAUUCAUCGGUGUGUGAUGGGGAUGCGUCUGAUUAGGCAGUUGGCGGGGUAACGGCCCACCAAACCGACGAUCAGUAGGGGUUCUGAGAGGAAGGUCCCCCACAUUGGAACUGAGACACGGUCCAAACUCCUACGGGAGGCAGCAGUGAGGAAUAUUGGUCAAUGGGCGGGAGCCUGAACCAGCCAAGUAGCGUGCAGGACGACGGCCCUAUGGGUUGUAAACUGCUUUUAUGCGGGGAUAAAACGCGGGACGUGUCCCGCCUUGCAGGUACCGCAUGAAUAAGGACCGGCUAAUUCCGUGCCAGCAGCCGCGGUAAUAAU
Molecule: ribosomal RNA, 533 nt
Filed under: uncultured bacterium
Lineage: Bacteria
Description: bacterial SSU rRNA
Rfam family: Bacterial small subunit ribosomal RNA
Source: RNAcentral